Molecule: ribosomal RNA, 445 nt
Filed under: Aeromonas sp. AE217
Lineage: Bacteria; Pseudomonadati; Pseudomonadota; Gammaproteobacteria; Aeromonadales; Aeromonadaceae
Description: bacterial SSU rRNA
Rfam family: Bacterial small subunit ribosomal RNA
Source: RNAcentral
AUUGAACGCUGGCGGCAGGCCUAACACAUGCAAGUCGAGCGGCAGCGGGAAAGUAGCUUGCUACUUUUGCCGGCGAGCGGCGGACGGGUGAGUAAUGCCUGGGGAUCUGCCCAGUCGAGGGGGAUAACAGUUGGAAACGACUGCUAAUACCGCAUACGCCCUACGGGGGAAAGGAGGGGACCUUCGGGCCUUUCGCGAUUGGAUGAACCCAGGUGGGAUUAGCUAGUUGGUGGGGUAAUGGCUCACCAAGGCGACGAUCCCUAGCUGGUCUGAGAGGAUGAUCAGCCACACUGGAACUGAGACACGGUCCAGACUCCUACGGGAGGCAGCAGUGGGGAAUAUUGCACAAUGGGGGAAACCCUGAUGCAGCCAUGCCGCGUGUGUGAAGAAGGCCUUCGGGUUGUAAAGCACUUUCAGCGAGGAGGAAAGGUUGUUGGCUAAUAUC